GCCUGCGGAGCGGAGGAAGACAAACAUAAAGAUGAAGUGCUUAAUUCAAGGUCACACAAUGUCGGGGAUGGACCUCCAGAUUUCCUUACUGACCUGCAUUAUCUUGUGGAUACCUGAGUGAAUUCCACACCACCCAUUUUAUAGAUGAAACCACUGAGACAUGGAGCAAUUGACUGAGUAGUCACUGCCCCACCCCUGCCUGGAGCCUCACACAUGACUCGCCUCCUCUCAGUGACCACAGGUUGGUUGAGGGGUUUAACAAGGCUAAGAAGAGACGGAGUCUUGCUAUGUUGCCCAGGCUGGUCUUGAACUCCUCACCUCAAGCGAUCCUCCCGUCUUGGCCUCCCAAGUGUCAGGAUUACGGGCAUGUGCUAUCACACCCAACCUGAUACAUUGCCUUUAUAAAUUUUUUUUUCUUUAUUCUAAAAACCAGAAAAAACAAAACUGGAUACAUGUGCAGAACAUGCAGGUGAGACGUGGUCUUGUAACACAGUGGUUAAGAAUGUGACUUUGGAGCCAGCCUGCUAGGGGCUGAAUUCUGACUCAGCCAUUUACUAACUGUGUGACCUUAGGUAAGUCAUUUACCUUCUUUGUCCCUCAGUUUCAUCUCGGUUAAGUAGGGAUAAUGAUAGCACCUAUUUUAUAGGGUUAUUGUGAGGAAUAAAUCCAAGUAAAAUGCUUAGAAUAGUAACUGAAACAUAGCACUCAUUAGGAAUGCUUUAAUUUUCAUUUAUUUGAGUAUUAAAGGUUGAAUUUUC
Molecule: long non-coding RNA, 758 nt
Filed under: Homo sapiens (human)
Lineage: Eukaryota; Metazoa; Chordata; Mammalia; Primates; Hominidae
Description: non-protein coding PCBP1-AS1:248
Source: RNAcentral